GCCCUUGCACCUUGGGCAAUGGGUGCUUAUAUCAGAGGUGUCUCGGCAACGGGACUAUCGUGAUAAACGCGCUCGUAAUACACGGCUCGGACCCGGGGGCGGUACCCGGCGACUCCACCAACACUCCCUUCAUUUGAGGGACGCGCGGGGUCGAAACAGGAUCGACGGACGUUUAAAGGUGUUAGCUUUCACGCGGCGGGAUACCACCGUUAUUGGUUCACUUAAGCUAGUUGCAAAUGACAACAAUGCUCCGGUAGCCCUGGCUGCGUAAGCAGUUCGGAAAACCGAAAAUUAAGUCCUAGCGCUUAGCAGCUCUAGGCGGGGUUCGCAGGUACCUGGCAACAGAAACCUGCACU
Non-coding RNA from Thalassobacter sp. 16PALIMAR09, 356 nucleotides. It matches the Rfam family "Alphaproteobacteria transfer-messenger RNA". Rfam says of the family: Bacterial tmRNA, also known as 10Sa RNA or SsrA, is named for its dual tRNA and mRNA-like properties. Its role is to liberate the mRNA from a stalled ribosome. The record is from Rfam. NCBI's taxonomy places the organism in Bacteria, Pseudomonadati, Pseudomonadota, Alphaproteobacteria, Rhodobacterales, Roseobacteraceae.